Lynx canadensis (Canada lynx) is the source of this 610-nucleotide long non-coding RNA. RefSeq lists it as uncharacterized. The record is from RefSeq and is a predicted model, not a curated record. The transcript has 3 exons. Lineage: Eukaryota; Metazoa; Chordata; Mammalia; Carnivora; Felidae.
GCCUUUGGUGAAGGGUGGUGUGAGCUGGGACUCUCCCUGGCUCAAAUGGAGAGCCUGGAGAAAAAGAAGGGAAAAGAAAAGAAGGGUUCUGGGAUUCAGACUUUGGGGAAGUGAGACAAUGAACAAGUCCUCUGAAGACCACGCUCAGCCACUAAACUAGAAAGCCAGCCUCUGCCAGAUGAGACCAACUCAGCACAGGACACCCGUGUCCCUCUGAUGACACUGUGGACACUCUAGCUAACACUGGGAGCUUAAGAGACUAGGGGAACUCAUUUAGGAAAACUAGCACAAGACAACCAUCAAGUCAUGUUCUUCAGGGUGCCUGAUGCAAGAGUUCUCAGGACUCAAGCCCAUGCUCACAGGAGACCGCUCACUUUGGCAUGUGGCACAGCUAUAUACUUCUCUCAAGACCAGGAACGGCGUGAAGACUUACAAAAGUACCAUGCAACCAUGGAUUAACUAUGUGCACUGAUUACCAUCUGUUUUUCUACACUGGUGUAAUGAUCCUCAGGACAUCUAUAGAAAAAAUCCACGUGAAAAGUUAAACUUGCCAACCGGGGCAACUUUAACUACAAGAUUUAUGUAUAAUAAAACUAUCUACUUAAACAUA